CCAGCAGCCGCGGUAAUACGGAGGUGGCUAGCGUUACUCGGAAUUAUUGGGUGUAAAGGGCAAGUAGGCGGCUUGGUAAGUAGGGGGUGAAAUACUCCGGCUCAAUCGGAGAACUGCCUUCUAAACUGCCAGGCUUGAGUGUGACAGAGGAAAAUGGAAUUCUCGGUGUAAGGGUGAAAUCUGUAGAUAUCGAGAAGAACACCAGCGGCGAAGGCGAUUUUCUGGGUCACUACUGACGCUAAAUUGCGAAAGCUAGGGGAGCAAACAGAAUUAGAUACUCUGGUAGUCCUAGCCGUAAACGAUGAGCACUAGAUGUCGGUCCCUUUAGGGGUCGGUGUCGCAGCUAACGCAUUAAGUGCUCCACCUGGGGACUACGGUCGCAAGG
This 385-nucleotide ribosomal RNA is filed under the name uncultured bacterium. RNAcentral's name for it is "bacterial SSU rRNA". It matches the Rfam family "Bacterial small subunit ribosomal RNA", at positions 508 to 893 of the family's 1533-position model. The record is from RNAcentral.